RNAcentral lists this ribosomal RNA (210 nucleotides) under Lacticaseibacillus paracasei. RNAcentral describes it as "Lactobacillus paracasei partial 16S ribosomal RNA". It matches the Rfam family "Bacterial small subunit ribosomal RNA", at positions 22 to 209 of the family's 1533-position model. Lineage: Bacteria; Bacillati; Bacillota; Bacilli; Lactobacillales; Lactobacillaceae. The record is from RNAcentral.
GCUCAGGAUGAACGCUGGCGGCGUGCCUAAUACAUGCAAGUCGAACGAGUUCUCGUUGAUGAUCGGUGCUUGCACCGAGAUUCAACAUGGAACGAGUGGCGGACGGGUGAGUAACACGUGGGUAACCUGCCCUUAAGUGGGGGAUAACAUUUGGAAACAGAUGCUAAUACCGCAUAGAUCCAAGAACCGCAUGGUUCUUGGCUGAAAGAU